GGGGAGUUGGGUGCCAGUGUGCAGAGGUUAAAUCUUUGUCUAUGACACUGCUUUUCAGGAUGAAACUAAUGGAAUAACAUCAACUAAGCCUUGCUGCUUCUCAGGCCCUGAGGAAUGGAGUGUACUAAUUAUGUACUCUGAAGCUAUAGGUGAGGAAACCUAGGCUCAAGUUGACACUCAAGCUCACCUUGCAAGAUAGUGGCAGAGCUGAUAAGUUGCAGCAAAGAAAUGGGAAUAUAGAAAAUGGUGGUAAAAACAGCAGUAGCAGCAGAAGCAAGGAGAGAAUCCAGAUGUCACCUUUGCAGGAAGUC
RNAcentral lists this long non-coding RNA (311 nucleotides) under Pan troglodytes (chimpanzee). RNAcentral's name for it is "long non-coding RNA NONPTRT014661". The record is from RNAcentral. Lineage: Eukaryota; Metazoa; Chordata; Mammalia; Primates; Hominidae.